Molecule: long non-coding RNA, 516 nt
Organism: Lolium perenne
Lineage: Eukaryota; Viridiplantae; Streptophyta; Magnoliopsida; Poales; Poaceae
Source: RefSeq, a predicted model, not a curated record
AAUGUGCCACUUCUCUCAAGUCUGCCGAUUGUACAUGGAUUUUUAAUGAUAUAUGAAUAUAUGAUUGGUAUGUCCUUCGAUGGAUAGUGGUGAACUAGGGAUAAAGCAGCAGAAGAGGCUUUCAUCUUCAAAUAUCCUGCAACUCAGUUUAAGGGAAUGAUGGGCCAAGGUGGAGGAGUUGAUGAAGACAGUACUAAAUCCUAUAGGGCAAGGAUUAUUUUUCUGGCCAAGGACAAGCUAAGAUGGCUCCAAGAUCAUAUGAGCUCCCCCAUUUGGUUAGUUUUUAUAUCUUAACUGAAGUGGAUUUUGUUUCUGUAGAAUGUGACUUCUCUUUGACUUUCUUUGAUGUCUAACGUCAUGAGCUGGUGAAACAAAUUCGUUGUUGAUUUAUGAAUUUCUCUUUAAUUUACCAAAAAUCUAACUUGAUUUUUGUUGCUCUAACUAGAUGAGCAGUAGAAAAUCACAAAGAGGUGCUUAAGAAAUAUAUGUUGUCUAACGUUAUGUCUUUGAUUUCAA